Myotis myotis is the source of this 666-nucleotide long non-coding RNA. RefSeq lists it as uncharacterized. Lineage: Eukaryota; Metazoa; Chordata; Mammalia; Chiroptera; Vespertilionidae. The transcript has 4 exons. The record is from RefSeq and is a predicted model, not a curated record.
GUCCACGUCUUCCACGGUACACAAUGGCCCCGAAGGAAGGACCGCUGGCCGCCCGGCCCAAAUGAAAAGGGGACUCCGAGGCAAAUGGAAAACCUAUGAAAUGGUGGCUCCAUAAUUUCCUCCUAUAUCAUCCCAGCACCUGGAUUUCUACCCUCAGAAUCACCUUAUAUUCCAAUAUGGCUGUUGGUGGUCCAGCUCUCACCACUGAUUUUCAGGCUAAAGGUUAAAAGGAAAAGUGGAAGGGCAUAUUGCAUUUCCAGAACCCAACAUCUAUUGGCAUUCAACCUUAUUUUUCCACCUCUGACUAGACACCAAGGAAUAAAAGGUGUUGCAGAAAUACAAAAAUGGAAGAAAUCAAGGCUUUUGGUGAGAAAGUAGUUCUGAUGAUCAACUAUAGGGCUCAAGAUGGGUCAGUAAAGAAGAGAUAUUACAUAGGAAAGAGGGUUAUCUUUUUUAACAUGGAGUCUUAAUAUGCUUCAGCCUACAAGAAGAGCCAUGAUAUAAUAUCCAACCCUGAAAGAAAAGAUUAGAUUUGGUCAUGCAAGUGUGCAUGUGCUUGUGUAAAAUUUUACAUGGUUAUGUAUGGCAUUACAUAUCAUUAAAUACACUCUCAAGUAGAGUCGAUGUGUAGUUAAAUAUAUAUUUCUUUAUUUUUUAUUUCUUCUC